GGAAGGAUCAUUAACGUGCAUCUAAUGCAAAAACCAAACCAAAACCGACCCGUGAACUUAAAAAACCCUAUGUCUUCUUUUUAACUUUCUUCUUGGUCUUUAAACGGACUUUGAAGGAUAGUUAAAAACCCACCACAUUCACCAAAAACCUAAUACACAAACCCAUUCCAUCUGAUUGAAAAAUCGUAAAUAAAUCGACGACUUUCAACGGCGGAUCUCUAGGCUCGUGUAUCGAUGAAGAACGCUGCGAACUGCGAUACGUAAUGCGAAUUGCACAACUCAGUGAAUCAUCGAACCUUUGAACGCAUAUUGCGCUGGGGCAGUCAAUGCCUCAGCAUGCCUGGUCGAGUGUCGUUUCCAAACCUCACACAAGAUUAUGUUUGAUAAAUAGCAUGAAUUUGUUGUUUAUUAUCCUAGUUGCGUGUGGAAACGAUCGAUGAGAGUCAGUUUUUGAGCUUGGUUUCAAGUGAAAAAAUCGUCUCUUUAAAGCCAAAGAUUGUAUUUCAAUCUCAAAAAGAGUAUGUAUUGUAGUUUUUCUCUAAUACAAUGUCUUUCCCAUGUGGUAAACACCUCGUGUGGUCAAAGCGUGUAUCUAUGAGAUGGCUAUACUUAAAGAUACGUAUUUCUUUCUUUGAAUGAAAAUGCAAACUAAAAUGAUUUGUUCAUAGACAAAGAAGGGUAUUUAAACCAUCCUUUUUAUCUCGGACAGACCUCGGCUCAGGCAAGAUUACCCGCUGAAUUUAAGCAUAUAAUUAAGCGGAGGAAAAGAAACUAACAAGGAUUCCCUUAGUAACGGCGAGUGAAGCGGGAAGAGCUCAAGCUUAAAACCUGUGUCUCAUUGGGGGCACCGGAUUGUAGCCUAAAGAGGGAGCGUCCUGGUAGACGGUGACCUAAAUGCUUUGGAAUAAGCUGCCGAAGAGGGUGCGAGCCCCGUUCUUGGUUGCCGAACCUGCCUUUUGUGAUGCCCUUUCAUUGAGUAGGAUUGCUUGAGAGUGCAGUCCGAAGUGGGUGGUAUACUUCAUCUAAAGCUAAAUAUUGACACGAGACCGAUAGCGAACAAGUACCGUGAGGGAAAGAUGAAAAGAACUCUGAAGAGAGAGUGAAAAAGUGCGUGAAACCGUUGAAAGGGAACCUGAUGGGUGCAGUGUCUCGUACGGUCGACAUCUUAGCUCGAACUUGCUAAAGGCUUGUGUGGUUUUGCCAGUGUAAAAACGGCCCAUAUGAGUUCUAGAGGCAAGGUUGGGUGCACUAUGUUGAUCGGGGCCUCUGAAUGCGUUAGAUGAGCGGGAUAAAGCUGUGUCUGGGUAAUCUUCACUCCGGUGGAUGACAUUUCACAGUGUAAAUACGCUUGUUUGACGGAGGAAACUAGGGUCUCGGCAUUUGCCGGAGCGAUGUGGAUGGUUUAUGCUGCAUUACUAUGUUGGCACUUCUUCUGAAGUUCCUUUGUGGUUUAGUGUACGUAGGCUGUUUGUUGCUCUUGAGGCUCCUGGAUUCAGAGUUUAAAUGUGCUCAUCAGACCCGUCUUGAAACACGGACCAAGGAGUCUAACAUGUAUGCGAGUCGUAGGGUGGAAAACCUGAAGGCGCAAUGAAAGUAAAGGCAGAUUCGGUCUGCUAAGGUGGGAACCUGGAAGUACGCAAGUACGGAAGGGUGCACCAUCAACCGAUCAUGACCCUCGGUGAUUGAUUUGAGUGAUAGCAUAUCUGUUGGUACCCGAAAGAUGGUGAACUAUGCCUGUAUAGGGUGAAGCCAGUGGAAACUCUGGUGGAGGCUCGUAGCGAUACUGACGUGCAAAUCGUUCGUCAAAUAUGGGUAUAGGGGCGAAAGACUAAUCGAACCAUCUAGUAGCUGGUUCCCUC
This 1859-nucleotide unclassified non-coding RNA is filed under the name uncultured fungus. Its description in RNAcentral is "sequence contains 18S rRNA gene, ITS1, 5.8S rRNA gene, ITS2, 28S rRNA gene". The stretch from base 708 to 1859 matches the Rfam family "Eukaryotic large subunit ribosomal RNA", at positions 1 to 961 of the family's 3401-position model. Lineage: Eukaryota; Fungi. The record is from RNAcentral.